UAACUUAGUGGCGGACGGGUGAGUAACGCGUGAGUAACCUGCCUUUCAGAGGGGGAUAACGUCCUGAAAAGGACGCUAAUACCGCAUGAUAUAUUUGUGCCGCAUGGUAUGGAUAUCAAAGGAGCAAUCCGCUGGAAGAUGGACUCGCGUCCGAUUAGCUAGUUGGAGGGGUGACGGCCCACCAAGGCGACGAUCGGUAGCCGGACUGAGAGGUUGAACGGCCACAUUGGGACUGAGACACGGCCCAGACUCCUACGGGAGGCAGCAGUGGGGGAUAUUGCGCAAUGGGGGAAACCCUGACGCAGCAACGCCGCGUGAAGGAAGAAGGUUUUCGGAUUGUAAACUUCUUUUCUAAGGGACGAAGAAGUGACGGUACCUUAGGAAUAAGCUCCGGCUAACUACGUGCCAGCAGCCGCGGUAAUACGUAGGGAGCAAGCGUUGUCCGGAUUUACUGGGUGUAAAGGGUGCGUAGGCGGCAAUGCAAGUCAGAUGUGAAAUGCACGGGCUCAACCCGUGAGCUGCAUUUGAAACUGUGUUGCUUGAGUGAGGUAGAGGCGGGCGGAAUUCCCGGUGUAGCGGUGAAAUGCGUAGAGAUCGGGAGGAACACCAGUGGCGAAGGCGGCCUGCUGGGC
This 632-nucleotide ribosomal RNA is filed under the name uncultured Lachnospiraceae bacterium. RNAcentral's name for it is "bacterial SSU rRNA". It matches the Rfam family "Bacterial small subunit ribosomal RNA", at positions 88 to 734 of the family's 1533-position model. The record is from RNAcentral. Lineage: Bacteria; Bacillati; Bacillota; Clostridia; Lachnospirales; Lachnospiraceae.